RNAcentral lists this ribosomal RNA (495 nucleotides) under uncultured bacterium. RNAcentral describes it as "bacterial SSU rRNA". It matches the Rfam family "Bacterial small subunit ribosomal RNA", at positions 28 to 511 of the family's 1533-position model. The record is from RNAcentral.
GAUGAACGCUAGCGGCAGGCUUAACACAUGCAAGUCGAGGGGCAGCAUGAGACGGAGAUUCGUCGAAGUCUUGAUGGCGACCGGCGCAAGGGUGCGUAACGCGUGAGCAACUUGCCCGUUUCUGGGGAAUAACCGGUGGAAACGCCGACUAAUACCCCAUAGUAUUGACUUUGGGCAUCCUUAGUCAAUUAAAGAAUUUCGGAAACGGAUAGGCUCGCGUGACAUUAGCUUGAUGGCGGGGUAACGGCCCACCAUGGCUACGAUGUCUAGGGGUUCUGAGAGGAAGGUCCCCCACACUGGAACUGAGACACGGCCCAGACUCCUACGGGAGGCAGCAGUGGGGAUAUUGCACAAUGGGCGCAAGCCUGAUGCAGCGAGGCCGCGUGAAGGUCACGGCCCUAUGGGUCUUAAACUUCUUUUGUAAGGGAGCAAUAAGUCUCACGUGUGGGAUGAUGAGAGUACCUUACGAAUAAGCAUCGGCUAACUCCGUGCCAG